RNAcentral lists this ribosomal RNA (403 nucleotides) under Bacteroidota bacterium. RNAcentral describes it as "Bacteroidetes bacterium partial 16S ribosomal RNA". It matches the Rfam family "Bacterial small subunit ribosomal RNA", at positions 355 to 776 of the family's 1533-position model. The record is from RNAcentral. Lineage: Bacteria; Pseudomonadati; Bacteroidota. RNAcentral also lists the same sequence under 1 other name.
UGGGGAAUAUUGCACAAUGGAGGGAACUCUGAUGCAGCGACGCCGCGUGAACGAAGAAGGCUUUCGAGUCGUAAAGUUCUUUUAUAUGGGAAGAUAAUGACGGUACCAUAAGAAAAAGCCCCGGCUAACUACGUGCCAGCAGCCGCGGUAAUACGUAGGGGGCUAGCGUUGUCCGGAAUCACUGGGCGUAAAGGGUUCGCAGGCGGAAAUGCAAGUCAGGUGUAAAAGGCAGUAGCUUAACUACUGUAAGCAUUUGAAACUGCAUAUCUUGAGAAGAGUAGAGGUAAGUGGAAUUUUUAGUGUAGCGGUGAAAUGCGUAGAUAUUAGGAGGAAUACCGGUGGCGAAGGCGACUUUCUGGCCAUAAUCUGACGCUGAGGUACGAAAGCGUGGGUAGCAAACAGG